Molecule: transfer RNA, 133 nt
Filed under: Escherichia albertii
Lineage: Bacteria; Pseudomonadati; Pseudomonadota; Gammaproteobacteria; Enterobacterales; Enterobacteriaceae
Description: tRNA-OTHER
Source: RNAcentral
GCCGGUUUAGCUCAGUGGGAGAUCACGAGAGCCAAAGCAUCGUUUCUACUUCGGUAGACAGCCUUGCUGGUCAAAUGACAACGAUUCGAUGUUAGGCCAGAGGUCAGCGGUUCGAAUCCGUUAACCGGCACCA